Molecule: long non-coding RNA, 1133 nt
Filed under: Sus scrofa (pig)
Lineage: Eukaryota; Metazoa; Chordata; Mammalia; Artiodactyla; Suidae
Description: lncRNA (ENSSSCG00005030986.1)
Source: RNAcentral
ACCUUUCACAAUUACUUAUCUAAGUUAACCUUUUUUUUUUUCUUAUUGAACAGCCAAAAAAAUUCAACUACAAGUUGGGUGUUAAAACAUAUGAUUGAAAAUACCAAGUAAGAACCCCAAUUUCAAGUAAUUAUGUUCAUUAAAACAGGCUCAUGUACCUCAUAAAUUGAAUUAAUAAUAAGCAAAUGAUAUAAAUUUGAAAAUUUUGAAUAAAGUGAUAUUAAUAAAAUUACCCUUUUAUCUGAUGAAUCCAUGUAUUUUUGCACAGUUGUUGCCUUGUAAGAAAUGGAUGGAAAGUGACUCUGCAGAAAUCCUAAGUGCAAGCAGGCUAUCAGGGUUAUCUCUGUCAACACCAGUGAUUUUAGAGAGAAUGACAAAUAUAGAAGAUGUGGAAGACAAGUACUGGACAUGUCCUGAUCAAGACAAAUAUUGAAAGGUGAUUUUUAAAAUAUAGCUCCCUAGUAGCAGCUUUGUUGAUCUGACUCUUUCUCAUAAAAGCCAGUUACAUUUUUAAUUUCCUACUCAUUAGAAAUUCCAACUAUAUAAAGCCUAUGUCUUAUUACAGAAAACUAAAAAUGCUUAAGCCUGCACUAUUUUAAUUCCAUUUUACUGGUAGGAUUUUGUAAUAAGUUAAAACAAGUAUAAUUAGGAGUUCCCAUUGCAGCUUAGUGGGUUAAGAACCUGAUCUUGUCUCUCUGAGGAUGUGGGUCCAAUUCCUGGUCUCGCUCAGUGGGUUAAGGAUUCGGCAUUUCUGUGAGCUCUCACGUAGGUCACAGCUGCAGCUCAGAUCUGGUGUUGCUGUGGUUGUGGUGUAGGCCAGCAACUGCAGCUCCAAUUCAACCCCCAGCCAGGGAACUUCCAUAUACCACAAGUUUGGCCAUAAAAAGAAAAAAAAAAACAAGCAAAAAACAAGUUUAAUUAAUCAAGCAGUGUCUAUAAAGAUGCCUAAAUUUAAACAGUAUUUGACCAUAGAUAUUUCUCAGGCUAUAACAUAAAAGCUAUACUAUAGCGGAAAGGGGGGGUUAAUGAAACAGCCAAUUUCUUCAAAGAAAAUAUAUCAAAUAGAAAAUAUGAUACAAUAAAGUUAUGUGGCAUCUAGACCAUGUCUAGCUAGAAUUUUUAGUACCCAGGAC